AUUGAACGCUGGCGGCAUGCCUUACACAUGCAAGUCGAACGGCAGCGGGGACUUCGGUCCGCCGGCGAGUGGCGAACGGGUGAGUAAUGUAUCGGAACGUGCCCAGUCGUGGGGGAUAACGUAGCGAAAGUUACGCUAAUACCGCAUACGAUCUAAGGAUGAAAGCGGGGGAUCGCAAGACCUCGCGCGAUUGGAGCGGCCGAUGUCAGAUUAGGUAGUUGGUGGGGUAAAGGCCCACCAAGCCGACGAUCUGUAGCUGGUCUGAGAGGACGACCAGCCACACUGGGACUGAGACACGGCCCAGACUCCUACGGGAGGCAGCAGUGGGGAAUUUUGGACAAUGGGCGCAAGCCUGAUCCAGCCAUUCCGCGUGCAGGAUGAAGGCCUUCGGGUUGUAAACUGCUUUUGUACGGAGCGAAAAGGCUCUCUCUAAUACAGGGGGCUCAUGACGGUACCGUAAGAAUAAGCACCGGCUAACUACGUGCCAGCAGCCGCGGUAA
Molecule: ribosomal RNA, 500 nt
Filed under: uncultured bacterium
Lineage: Bacteria
Description: partial 16S ribosomal RNA
Rfam family: Bacterial small subunit ribosomal RNA
Source: RNAcentral